This 265-nucleotide ribosomal RNA is filed under the name uncultured prokaryote. RNAcentral describes it as "partial 16S ribosomal RNA". It matches the Rfam family "Bacterial small subunit ribosomal RNA", at positions 355 to 634 of the family's 1533-position model. The record is from RNAcentral.
UGGGGAAUAUUGGGCAAUGGGCGAAAGCCUGACCCAGCAACGCCGCGUGAAGGAAGAAGGCUUUCGGGUUGUAAACUUCUUUUAUGUGGGACGAAAAAAAUGACGGUACCACAUGAAUAAGCCACGGCUAACUACGUGCCAGCAGCCGCGGUAAUACGUAGGGGGCAAGCGUUGUCCGGAUUUACUGGGUGUAAAGGGCGCGUAGGCGGGAAUGCAAGUCAGAUGUGAAAUCCCUGGGCUCAACCCCGGAACUGCAUUUGAAACU